RNAcentral lists this ribosomal RNA (341 nucleotides) under uncultured soil bacterium. RNAcentral's name for it is "bacterial SSU rRNA". It matches the Rfam family "Bacterial small subunit ribosomal RNA", at positions 26 to 369 of the family's 1533-position model. The record is from RNAcentral.
AGAUUGAACGCUGGCGGCAUGCCUUACACAUGCAAGUCGAACGGCAGCACGGGAGCAAUCCUGGUGGCGAGUGGCGAACGGGUGAGUAAUAUAUCGGAACGUGCCCAGUCGUGGGGGAUAACGCAGCGAAAGCUGUGCUAAUACCGCAUACGAUCUAUGGAUGAAAGCGGGGGAUCGCAAGACCUCGCGCGAUUGGAGCGGCCGAUAUCAGAUUAGCUAGUUGGUGGGGUAAAAGCCUACCAAGGCGACGAUCUGUAGCUGGUCUGAGAGGACGACCAGCCACACUGGAACUGAGACACGGUCCAGACUCCGUACGGGAGCAGCAGGUGGGGAAUUUGGAC